UACGUAGGGUGCAAGCGUUGUCCGGAAUUAUUGGGCGUAAAGAGCUCGUAGGCGGUUUGUCGCGUCUGCGUGUGAAAACCCGAGGCUCAACCUCGGGCCUGCAGUGGGUACGGGCAGACUAGAGUGCGGUAGGGGAGAUUGGAAUUCCUGGUGUAGCGGUGGAAUGCGCAGAUAUCAGGAGGAACACCAAUGGCGAAGGCAGAUCUCUGGGCCGUAACUGACGCUGAGGCACGAAAGCGUGGGGAGCAAACAGG
This 254-nucleotide ribosomal RNA is filed under the name uncultured bacterium. Its description in RNAcentral is "partial 16S ribosomal RNA". It matches the Rfam family "Bacterial small subunit ribosomal RNA", at positions 524 to 776 of the family's 1533-position model. The record is from RNAcentral.